This 625-nucleotide ribosomal RNA is filed under the name uncultured Bacillota bacterium. RNAcentral describes it as "bacterial SSU rRNA". It matches the Rfam family "Bacterial small subunit ribosomal RNA", at positions 1 to 613 of the family's 1533-position model. The record is from RNAcentral. Lineage: Bacteria; Bacillati; Bacillota.
AGGGGGUUUGAUCCUGGGGCUCAGGACGAACGCUGGCGGCGUGCCUAAUACAUGCACAGUCGAGCGGAUUUCUUUAGAGCUUGCUUUAAAGAAAUUAGCGGCGGACGGGUGAGUAACACGUGGGCAACCUGCCUGUAAGACUGGGAUAACUUCGGGAAACCGGAGCUAAUACCGGAUAAUAUAAAAGACCUCCUGGUCUUCUAUUGAAAGUUGGUUUCGGCUAACACUUACAGAUGGGCCCGCGUCGCAUUAGCUAGUUGGUGAGGUAAUGGCUCACCAAGGCAACGAUGCGUAGCCGACCUGAGAGGGUGAUCGGCCACACUGGGACUGAGACACGGCCCAGACUCCUACGGGAGGCAGCAGUAGGGAAUCUUCCACAAUGGACGAAAGUCUGAUGGNAGCAACGCCGCGUGAGCGAUGAAGGCCUUCGGGUCGUAAAGCUCUGUUGUUAGGGAAGAACAAGUGCGAGAGUAACUGCUCGCACCUUGACGGUACCUAACCAGAAAGCCACGGCUACUACGUGCCAGCAGCCGCGGGUAAUACGUAAGUUGCAAGCGUUGUCCGAAUUAUGGGCGUUAAGCGCGCGCAGCGGUUUCUUAGUCUGAUGUGAAGCCCCCGGCUCACC